This 253-nucleotide ribosomal RNA is filed under the name uncultured bacterium. Its description in RNAcentral is "partial 16S ribosomal RNA". It matches the Rfam family "Bacterial small subunit ribosomal RNA", at positions 524 to 776 of the family's 1533-position model. The record is from RNAcentral.
UACGGAGGGGGCGAGCGUUAUUCGGAAUUAUUGGGCGUAAAAAGCUCGUAGGCGGUCUGUCGCGUCUGCUGUGAAAACUCAGGGCUUAACCCUGAGCUUGCAGUGGGUACGGGCAGACUAGAGUGCGGUAGGGGAGACUGGAAUUCCUGGUGUAGCGGUGAAAUGCGCAGAUAUCAGGAGGAACACCGGUGGCGAAGGCGGGUCUCUGGGCAGUAACUGACGCUGAGGAGCGAAAGCGUGGGGAGCGAACAGG